AGAACGAACGCUGGCGGCGCGCCUAAUACAUGCAAGUCGAGCGAGAGGACGUAGCAAUACGUUUGUAAAGCGGCGAACGGGUGAGGAAUACAUGGGUAACCUACCCUCGAGUGGGGAAUAACUAGCCGAAAGGUUAGCUAAUACCGCGUACGCUCCUUGGACUUCGGUUCAGGGAGGAAAGCGAUACCGUGGGUAUCGCGCUCUUGGAUGGGCUCAUGUCCUAUCAGCUUGUUGGUGAGGUAAUGGCUCACCAAGGCGACGAUCAGUAGCUGGUCUGAGAGGAUGGCCAGCCACAUUGGGACUGAGACACGGCCCAAACUCCUACGGGAGGCAGCAGUGGGGAAUAUUGGACAAUGGGCGAAAGCCUGAUCCAGCCAUGCCGCGUGAGUGAUGAAGGCCUUAGGGUUGUAAAGCUCUUUUACCUGGGAAGAUAAUGACGGUACCAGGAGAAUAAGCCCCGGCUAACUUCGUGCCAGCAGCCGCGGUAAUACGAAGGGGGCUAGCGUUGUUCGGAAUUACUGGGCGUAAAGCGCACGUAGGCGGAUUUUUAAGUCAGGGGUGAAAUCCCGAGGCUCAACCUCGGAACUGCCUUUGAUACUGGGAAUCUCGAGUCCGGGAGAGGUGAGUGGAACUGCGAGUGUAGAGGUGAAAUUCGUAGAUAUUCGCAAGAACACCAGUGGCGAAGGCGGCUCACUGGCCCGGUACUGACGCUGAGGUGCGAAAGCGUGGGGAGCAAACAGGAUUAGAUACCCUGGUAGUCCACGCCGUAAACGAUGGAUGCUAGCCGUUAGCAGCUUGCUGCUAAGUGGCGCAGUUAACGCUUUAAGCAUCCCGCCUGGGGAGUACGGUCGCAGAUUAA
Molecule: ribosomal RNA, 859 nt
Filed under: uncultured bacterium
Lineage: Bacteria
Description: bacterial SSU rRNA
Rfam family: Bacterial small subunit ribosomal RNA
Source: RNAcentral